This 492-nucleotide ribosomal RNA is filed under the name uncultured bacterium. RNAcentral describes it as "partial 16S ribosomal RNA". It matches the Rfam family "Bacterial small subunit ribosomal RNA", at positions 29 to 507 of the family's 1533-position model. The record is from RNAcentral.
AGUGGACGCUGGCGGUAGGCCUAACACAUGCAAGUCGAACGGCAGCACAGUAGGAGCUUGCUCUUACGGGUGGCGAGUGGCGGACGGGUGAGGAAUACAUCGGAAUCUACUUUUUCGUGGGGGAUAACGUAGGGAAACUUACGCUAAUACCGCAUACGACCUACGGGUGAAAGCAGGGGAUCUUCGGACCUUGCGCGAUUGAAUGAGCCGAUGUCGGAUUAGCUAGUUGGCGGGGUAAAGGCCCACCAAGGCGACGAUCCGUAGCUGGUCUGAGAGGAUGAUCAGCCACACUGGAACUGAGACACGGUCCAGACUCCUACGGGAGGCAGCAGUGGGGAAUAUUGGACAAUGGGCGCAAGCCUGAUCCAGCCAUACCGCGUGGGUGAAGAAGGCCUUCGGGUUGUAAAGCCCUUUUGUUGGGAAAGAAAAGCAGCAGGUUAAUACCCCGCUGUUCUGACGGUACCCAAAGAAUAAGCACCGGCUAACUUCGUG